AUUAUGAUCGAUCUAAUCAAUUGUUAGGUAGGAGAUUUCAAGACAAAAUUAUUGGAAGCAGCAGAUGUUAGAAGAGGAUAUGGAGGAGUGCAUCUUUUGGAGAAGAUUUAGAAAGUCAAGAACUCUGAAUGUCUUGUGUAUGCCAAAUUGCCAAUUGAUGUUUUCAUGCAGGUUUUAACUUGAACAGAAUCCCCUUUUACACUUAAAAAAGUCGCGUUUCUUUUCCUUGCAACCCACCCCAUUACACCCAUAUCAAAAGCCAGGUGAAGAGGACAAUAUAUUAUCAUUUUCCUUCUACCAGUAAUUGCCUCUCGGCGGGUCCGUUUCAUUCAGCUCUUGGCCAUUUUAUACAGUCAACUUGGCCUGCUUUUGAUUAAAAGAAAGUCACUUUGAUCUCAUGCAAGCUUCGCUUCAUUAUCUUUGCGAUUUGUGAAUUUUACGUACUCCCCUAGGCAAUCAUUUGUGACUGUUGAAUUCAGGAGCCAGAGCCACCUCUAAGUAUCUUGUUAGUAUUG
This 515-nucleotide unclassified non-coding RNA is filed under the name Hevea brasiliensis (rubber tree). Lineage: Eukaryota; Viridiplantae; Streptophyta; Magnoliopsida; Malpighiales; Euphorbiaceae. The record is from RNAcentral.